CGGAAUGUAGCGCAGCCUGGUAGCGCACUUGUCUGGGGGACAAGGGGUCGUGGGUUCGAAUCCCGCCAUUCCGA
This 74-nucleotide transfer RNA is filed under the name Acetobacteraceae bacterium AT-5844. It matches the Rfam family "tRNA". Rfam says of the family: Transfer RNA (tRNA) molecules are approximately 80 nucleotides in length. Their secondary structure includes four short double-helical elements and three loops (D, anti-codon, and T loops). Lineage: Bacteria; Pseudomonadati; Pseudomonadota; Alphaproteobacteria; Acetobacterales; Acetobacteraceae. The record is from Rfam by way of RNAcentral.